Molecule: ribosomal RNA, 418 nt
Filed under: uncultured soil bacterium
Lineage: Bacteria
Description: bacterial SSU rRNA
Rfam family: Bacterial small subunit ribosomal RNA
Source: RNAcentral
AGAUUGAACGCUGGCGGCAUGCCUUACACAUGCAAGUCGAACGGCAGCACGGGAGCAAUCCUGGUGGCGAGUGGCGAACGGGUGAGUAAUACAUCGGAACGUGCCCAAUCGUGGGGGAUAACGCAGCGAAAGCUGUGCUAAUACCGCAUAAGAUCUACGGAUGAAAGCAGGGGAUCGCAAGACCUUGCGCGAAUGGGGCGGCCGAUGGCAGAUUAGGUAGUUGGUGAGGUAAAGGCUCGGCCAAGCCUUCGAUCUGUAGCUGGUCUGAGACGGACACCGAGACCGACGACUGGGACUGAGACCACGGCCCAGACUCCGACGGAGGCAGCAGGUGGGGUAAUUUGGAACUAAGUGGGACGAAAGACCUGAUCCGAAGCCAUGGCCGCGUGCAGGAUGAAGGCCGUUAGGUUGUAAACGU